This is an RNA transcript of Prionailurus viverrinus (fishing cat), 4936 nucleotides long. It is a transcript of the gene named SNRPN upstream open reading frame, with no coding region annotated. The transcript is spliced from 7 exons. NCBI's taxonomy places the organism in Eukaryota, Metazoa, Chordata, Mammalia, Carnivora, Felidae. The record is from RefSeq and is a predicted model, not a curated record.
AGCCAAAGUCGGAGGGGUGGCUAGCUGCGCAUGCGCAGGUGGAACUGGUGUGAUUAGCCCUGCCGCAGUGACUGGAACACAGAGUGGAGUGGUCGCCGGAGAUGCCUGAAGGUCUGUUCUGAGGAGCGGCUAGCAGCGCGAUGGAGCGGGCCAGGGACCGCUUACACCUGAGACGGACCACGGAGCAGCACGUACCAGAGGUGGAAGUACAAGUCAAACGUAGAAGGACAGCCUCACUGAGCAACCAAGAGUGUCAGCUCUACCCAAGGCGAUCUCAGCAGCAGCAAGUACCUGUGUUGGAUUUCCAGGCGGAAUUGAGACAGGCAUUCUUAGCAGAGACACCAAGAGGUGGUUAAAGCAGUAUUGGAACAUCCAGGUUAGCUGAUUUCCAAGUGAAAAACCAGGAAAACUUUGCUAUUUGGGUAGAUCUGCUGACAUGGAUGGCUCUUAGAUUUUGACAUGAGUGAUUGUGCACCAUAUACAAAGAAAACCUGUUCUCUCAUAUCUCCUUAAGUAAUGAUGACGGCGUCUUUUGCAAGUUAGAGUUUUUUCAGUCUUAUGAAGUGCCCUUUUGUCCACAUAGUUGAGGACUCUGAAAGGAGGAGAGAAUUUAACCACUCAAUUUUCUGACAUGUCACUGUGGAUCCUACCCAGUAGUUUCUCAAGGAGGCUUAAAACUGUAUUAGCUGCAUUUAGGACAAACGUAAACCACUACAGGUAAACUAACCUUUUAAAGAAAAGUAAUAGUGCAUUACAGAGGCCUUGGCUAGGUUCAUGAUGACACAGGACCUUGUCUGAACAUAAUGAUUUUAAAAUUUGAGCUUAAAUGACACUCUGAAAUCUAGUCAAUGUGCCUCAGUAGACUUUACAGAGAACAUUAUUUUUAAUAGAAAAUUUUGGCUUACUGUGCAAACUUUGAAUACUUAGAAAUGGCAGGUGUAGCAGUAUACUUUGCCAGUUCCUUAGACAUCCUUUUUUUUUUUAAAUGUUUAUACAUAUUCUGAGCUCAUUAUUUUUUCCCUUUUUUUAAAACAUAUAUGCUGUUGAAAGCAAAAAAGGAAGCUCAUCCUUAGAUCCCAGAAGGUACAUGCAUAUGCUGAGUGGAAGCAAGGACAUGUAAAAGGGAGACUACGACUUCUUGGAUCACACAUUGGAUGACAGAGAUGUUUAAGUGAUGAUGUCCAGGAAAAUGGGGAACUAAUAUUUAUGGAAAAUAUAUUAUGAAAUACAGUGAGUAUGGGGUAAGAAGAUCUCUUUCUUAGUGAGAUGAUGAAGGCCCAAUAAGAGAGCAAUAUUUGAAAUCCAUUUCCAAGGAUAUGUUUGUUCUAUAUGUGAAUGUUGAUUUACAGCUUCAGGUGUUAAUGCAGCAAGUCCAUCUCCGCCAAAAUAAUGUACACAAACAUCUUCUACAACCCUGUAAAAGAAAAGACUUGGAACACUUGUAUUCAAAAUGACAAAACACGUACAGAUAAUUCAAAGAAGAAAAUACUGGCAAGUAAGCAUGUGAAAUGUCUCCGAAUCAUUCACAAACACCCUUUAAAAAUCAUUGUAUGAUCAUUUGAAUCAAUUUUACAUAGAUGUAAAAAGGUGAUGCCAACUAGGUGAGAAAGUGGGUGUAAUUCGUGGACAUAAAUGGAACCCAAGAAACAUGGACAAGGAUUUCAUCCAGAAACUUAGAAAAUUUAUUGGACAAUAGACAACUGUUCAAGCUCCAUUAGAUAGCAGUUCUGAAGCUACCUUUCUAGAUGACUUUUGUUGUUGUAAUUGUUGUAUUUUAACUGUAUUAAAGCUUCUAACUGAUCCCCUUACUUCUAGCUUCAGAUUCUCUGUUUCAUCUGUCUGCCAGAGCAGUAUUUGGGAAAGAUAUGACAAACCAAGUCACAUUUCUUCAAAAAUCUGCAUUUGGCAUGUUUUUAAGAGUAUUAGAAAUAAGCAAUAAUCAGAGAAGAGGACAAAGAUUAUAUAAACUGAUAAUAGAGGAUCUUUUGCCACUGUCAAAACUGGAAAUUUGCCACUUUUAGUCACUGAACAUUUGGAUUCCUAAAUUUUGUGCCCUAAGACUCCCCUGAUAUGAAUCUUACGAAAUUUGUGCAGCAAGAAACAAUGAGAUUAUAAUCCAAGAUGAUUUAGGAUACUGUGCAAACGUUUUUGCCACUGACGUGAACAGGAGAGUAUAUCCUGAGAGCCUCUGCAUUGAUCAGAUUGUAGUUUUCAAAUUUUUCUGGAGUAUCCUGAGCAAUUAUACUUAUGGACUGCUAUGAACCCUAAACAUCAUGCUGAUUCAAGGGGUCUUUGACCAGGACCUUCCUGUAGAGACACUCCCUAGAUCUUGUAUUCUAUAUUUAUUUCAUGGUCCAACAUGAUUAGCACAGCAUCUCUAAUUCCAAAUUACUCCCCAGAAUGCAAAUGUAUGAAGUUAUCUACUGAAUUAAAAUAAUUUCAAGUGAAUGGCACUUGUAGUAUUGGUUUAGAAUGGACAAUCUCAAGUAAAUAUAAGACAGCAUUCUAGGAAUAUAUGGAAUGAAAGGGAAGGACAACACAUCCCAACUUGAGCUAGAAGCUUCACCAACUACAAAAUCACAGAGAAAAUAGAGAUAUAUACUGUUCUGAAAUUCAUCUUGCUUUUCAAAAAUUUUAUUUCAUUGGCAAUCUUUGGAUUUGGUAAAAAUCUCAGUAUUUUUUUCUAUGGAUUACCAAUUUACCUUAAAAAUAUUUAAUAGUAAGAGCCUUGUAUAUGUGACUUUAAUACAUACAUGAUAAACACAAAUAUUUUUUUUUCACCUCACACACCAUUUUAGGAAUGUAAACUUAUUAACUAAUUACUGGACAUAUAGAGCUUAAGAAUAAAUGCUUAAGAAAAUUGUGAUUGGGUAAUGGUAUUGAAAUAAAUAUAAAAUACUCAGUGAAGGGUGAAUAUGUAUGAACUGUUCAUUGGAUGUUAGUGAAAAGAAUGAAAUUCAACAUGUAAUAGUUUAUUGUAUUUUAUUCUUUCUUUGCUUUAUCUUUCUUGCACUCUGAUGCUCAAGCACAGAGACUACAGUUAUAAACAAAUCUAUUGUUUUUAAAAAUGGUUGCUGUGAUAAUAGAGCUGGUUUCCUAGGUGAGUUUUUAAAAGCAUGUUUGGUAAAACUGCCUUCUGGAAAAGAUUUUAGAAAGGAAUGAGGCCAUUUUGUAAAGAUACACACAAUGCUAUAUUCAUUGUUUGAAUGUUUAUGGAUAAGGGGAGAGGAAAUGGACAUGAGGAAUGUUUAAUAUAUUAAUCAGGAAAAAAGUAAGGCACUAGUUAUUAAUGUUUAUUUUGAGAAUAUACUGUAUGAAAUACCUAAAUAUAAUUGCAUUGUAACUUUAAGGUAUUGUGAUUGUUAAGUUUGCUAACAUUUAGAAGAAAUAUUUUUAAUACAUGAUUAUAAAAAUAGAACUGUUAGAAUACCUUUGAAUAAUACACAUUUAGAAUCAUUUGAUUGAAUGAUUUUUGAGUGGCUUUUGGUGUGGGGCAAGGAUUGUUCUGUAUGCAGCUGUUACACAAGAAAUUUUAUUAAGGCUGUUCUGUGUGGUUGUAGAUGUUAUUCUGUAAAUAUUUGUUAAUAUCUUUAUGGUAUGUUAAUGUUUCUGUGGUAUGAGAUUUAAUUCCCAUGAUGGAAUUACUGCAUAAGAGUCCAGCUUCUAUGCAUGUUUAGGAUUUGAUGGGCUUUUUUAUUGCUAUGUAUGUAAUGGAAAAAGUACUGUGUUAAACCAUCCUAUUAAUCAUGGAGAUGACUGAUAUUUGGGGCAUUUUAAAUGUUAGAAUAUAAUUUUGGUUGUCGAGAGGAGUUUUUAGGCUGCCUUAUUUGUAGUAGGCAAAUAAAAGCAGAAUUUAGAAGGUAGAGAACAGGGAAUUUUGGAGGGCUAUACAUAUAUGAAUAUGUGCAGAAACAGUUCUUGAACAGCCUAGAGGCUUUACUUGAUGCUCAGAAGUUGGGAAUCGACAUAUAUUUUAUUAAUCCUGUGAUGUUAAAUAGGUGUAGUUUGUUGUUGUUUUUUUCCAAUACAAUGGUUAAAUUGCCUCAACAUUAAUUCCUUUUCAGUAAGAUUAUACUUUUUUUUAAAGUGUUAUAUACAAUGUAAUGUUCUUUACCAUCUAAUUCUCUACCUACAUAGACAUUACUGUAAAUACAUAUCAACUUAUACGGAUAGACAUUUUUGUUUGACAAAAAUGAUAUUAUAUCUUGCCUCUGUGUUCAUUGGAUUAUUAGGCUCAAAUUGUAGGGUGGAAUAAAUGUGCAGUGUCUAGUAUAAUAUCUCACAUUGUUUUUUAUAGAAGAUUCAUCAUAGUGGAAAUGUCAUUUUAAUUGUGGGUCUGCCUUUGUUUAUGGUUUUUAGAUAUGUUUGUAUGCAGAUAGGAAAUAGAAUUACUAGAAAAAUCUCUACAUGUGGUUAAACAUAAUAGGUUAGAAAAGUUUUCAUUUGCCAGUGUAAUUUGACUUUUAAUAAUUGAAUUGUUCUUGCUUUAAAAUACUACAUAAAAUAGUAUAGGUGAUUUACAAGUUUGUAUUAGAGAUGUUUGUAAUGGUCUGUCAAAUCUAUGUUCUUAAAAGGAUGGGCUGAUCAAAGAAAAGUUUUAUAUAAUGUGUAUAAUUAGACACAGUUAUUAUGUUUUCUUAAAGCCGAGGAAUAAUUAUAUCAGCAUGUUUUGUAAAUAUGUAGAAUGAAAAAUUUGCAUAACAGCUGUCAGAUUAUGUCUGAGUAAAUAAUUGAGCAGCUGAAGUUCAGGAUAUUUUGUUAGACUGUUUUGUGUGUAAAACGGGAUAAAAUAAUUUUUACUUUAAACUUUUAAUCCUUAAUUUUACAGGGGUUGCAUUCAUAUACAUAUGUAUAUAUACCCACAGGUGUAUUGUAUAUGUAUAUAUAAGACAACUGUUUAUUAAAAAUUAUACAAUAGGAACACCUUUUGGCCAAA